GACGAACGCUGGCGGCGUGCUUAACACAUGCAAGUCGAACGGAAAGGCCCUGCUUUUGUGGGGUGCUCGAGUGGCGAACGGGUGAGUAACACGUGAGUAACCUGCCCUUGACUUUGGGAUAACUUCAGGAAACUGGGGCUAAUACCGGAUAGGAGCUCCUGCUGCAUGGUGGGGGUUGGAAAGUUUCGGCGGUUGGGGAUGGACUCGCGGCUUAUCAGCUUGUUGGUGGGGUAGUGGCUUACCAAGGCUUUGACGGGUAGCCGGCCUGAGAGGGUGACCGGAGACAGUGGGAAGUAGGAGCGGCAGAGGAACGUGCGGGGGGAAGAGGGGGGGAAGAUGGGACAGCGGGAGAAAGCUGGGUGCGGCAGGGGCGGGGGGGGGGUGACGCGGUGCGGGUGGUAACGCGUUUUCGCGUGGGAGGAGGGGGGGGUGGGUGUAAGGGGUAAAUAGGCACGGGGUAACACCGGGCCAGGGGCCGCAGGAAUAGAGGGAAGGGCACCCGUCUGACU
This 509-nucleotide ribosomal RNA is filed under the name uncultured bacterium. RNAcentral describes it as "partial 16S ribosomal RNA". The stretch from base 18 to 367 matches the Rfam family "Bacterial small subunit ribosomal RNA", at positions 45 to 393 of the family's 1533-position model. The record is from RNAcentral.